AGGAAAGCAGGGGAUCGCAAGACCUUGCGCUUUUGGAGCGGCCGAUGUCUGAUUAGCUAGUUGGUGAGGUAAAGGCUUACCAAGGCUUCGAUCAGUAGCUGGUCUGAGAGGACGACCAGCCACACUGGGACUGAGACACGGUCCAGACUUCUAUGGGAGGCAGCAGUGGGGAAUUUUGGACAAUGGGGGAAACCCUGAUCCAGCCAUGCCGCGUGAGUGAAGAAGGCCUUCGGGUUGUAAAGCUCUUUCAGCCGGAACGAAAAGGUUACGGUUAAUACCCGUGACUAAUGACGGUACCGGAAGAAGAAGCAUCGGCUAACUACGUGUUAGCAGCCGCGGUAAUAUGUAGGGUGCGAGCGUUAAUCGGAAUUACUGGGCGUAAAGCGUGCGCAGGCGGUUUUGUAAGUCAGAUGUGAAUCCCCGGGCUCAACCUGGGAACUGCGUUUGAAACUACAAGGCU
RNAcentral lists this ribosomal RNA (460 nucleotides) under uncultured beta proteobacterium. Its description in RNAcentral is "bacterial SSU rRNA". It matches the Rfam family "Bacterial small subunit ribosomal RNA", at positions 200 to 642 of the family's 1533-position model. Lineage: Bacteria; Pseudomonadati; Pseudomonadota; Betaproteobacteria. The record is from RNAcentral.